RNAcentral lists this ribosomal RNA (484 nucleotides) under uncultured bacterium. Its description in RNAcentral is "partial 16S ribosomal RNA". It matches the Rfam family "Bacterial small subunit ribosomal RNA", at positions 30 to 507 of the family's 1533-position model. The record is from RNAcentral.
AUUGAACGCUGGCGGCAGGCCUAACACAUGCAAGUCGAGCGGAUGAAGGGAGCUUGCUCCUGGAUUCAGCGGCGGACGGGUGAGUAAUGCCUAGGAAUCUGCCUGGUAGUGGGGGAUAACGUCCGGAAACGGGCGCUAAUACCGCAUACGUCCUGAGGGAGAAAGUGGGGGAUCUUCGGACCUCACGCUAUCAGAUGAGCCUAGGUCGGAUUAGCUAGUUGGUGGGGUAAAGGCCUACCAAGGCGACGAUCCGUAACUGGUCUGAGAAGAUGAUCAGUCACACUGGAACUGAGACACGGUCCAGACUCCUACGGGAGGCAGCAGUGGGGAAUAUUGGACAAUGGGCGAAAGCCUGAUCCAGCCAUGCCGCGUGUGUGAAGAAGGUCUUCGGAUUGUAAAGCACUUUAAGUUGGGAGGAAGGGCAGUAAGUUAAUACCUUGCUGUUUGGACGUUACCAACAGAAUAAGCACCGGCUAACUUCGUG